Molecule: long non-coding RNA, 696 nt
Organism: Oryzias melastigma (Indian medaka)
Lineage: Eukaryota; Metazoa; Chordata; Actinopteri; Beloniformes; Adrianichthyidae
Exons: 3
Source: RefSeq, a predicted model, not a curated record
GGGUGUGUACCCCCCUCCCCCUCCAGGGUUCUUCAUCCCAGGAUUUCCCAAACUGCACCGCUUCCAGGCUCACCAUGAGCUCAUCCUCUCCAAACUGCUGCCCAGGCUGAAGAAACACCUGGAUAAGGAGCAGAUGACCACAGGGCUUUACACCACCAAGUGGUUCCUGCAGUGCUUCAUAGACAGAAGCCCGUUCACGCUCACGCUGCGUUUAUGGGACAUCUACAUGUUAGAGGGAGAGAAGAUGCUGACCGCCAUGGCGUACACCACCCUGAAGCUGCACAGAAGUGAGACUGCUUUCGUCUGCUCCGGCUGAAGCCGGAGGUCUUACAUAACCAGGGCUGUUGCUGAGGAGAAGAAUCACAGGACGACUUUUCAUUGGACGUCCUGCUAGCAUCCUCUCUGCUCAUUGGCUGAUUUAUCAGAGCUGUUGUUUCCUUUUAUUUCAGUCUUAGAAUGUUUUCAUCAGCUGAUCCCAGAAACUUCAGGCUCAACCAGAACCAGGAUCUUAAGUUCAACCAGCACCAGAACCUCUGUGUCCAACCAGAACCAGAACAAUUAUGCUCAACCAAAACUUUAAGAUUAAUCAGAACCAGAUAAUUUAUGUUAAACCUCAACCAGAACCUUUAGGUUCAACCAGUAUCAGAACCUCUAAGUUCAACCAGAACCUUUAUGUUCAACCAGUACCAGAACCAG